Molecule: ribosomal RNA, 406 nt
Filed under: uncultured bacterium
Lineage: Bacteria
Description: partial 16S ribosomal RNA
Rfam family: Bacterial small subunit ribosomal RNA
Source: RNAcentral
AUUGAACGCUGGCGGCAGGCUUAACACAUGCAAGUCGAGCGAGCGGCGGACGGGUGAGUAAUGUCUGGGACACUGCCUGAUGGAGGGGGAUAACUACUGGAAACGGUAGCUAAUACCGCAUACCAUCAGAUUUUCCCAGAUGGGAUUAGCUAGUAGGUGGGGGAAUGGCUCACCUAGGCGACGAUCACUAGCUGGUCUGAGAGGAUGACCAGCCCAACUGGAACUGAGACACGGCCCAGACUCCUACGGGAGGCAGCGGUGGGGAAUAUUGCACAAUGGGCGCAAGCCUGAUGCAGCCAUGCCGCGUGUGUGAAGAAGGCUUUCGGGUUGUAAAGCACUGUCAGCGAGGAGGCGUUACUCGCAGAAGAAGCAACGGCUAACUCCGUGCCAGCCGCCGCGGUAAUUC